AGUGAACGCUGGCGGUAGGCCUAACACAUGCAAGUCGAACGGCAGCACAGUAAGAGCUUGCUCUUACGGGUGGCGAGUGGCGGACGGGUGAGGAAUACAUCGGAAUCUACUUUUUCGUGGGGGAUAACGUAGGGAAACUUACGCUAAUACCGCAUACGACCUACGGGUGAAAGCAGGGGAUCUUCGGACCUUGCGCGAUUGAAUGAGCCGAUGUCGGAUUAGCUAGUUGGCGGGGUAAAGGCCCACCAAGGCGACGAUCCGUAGCUGGUCUGAGAGGAUGAUCAGCCACACUGGAACUGAGACACGGUCCAGACUCCUACGGGAGGCAGCAGUGGGGAAUAUUGGACAAUGGGCGCAAGCCUGAUCCAGCCAUACCGCGUGGGUGAAGAAGGCCUUCGGGUGGUAAAGCCCUUUUGUUGGGAAAGAAAAGCAGCAGGUUAAUACCCCGCUGUUCUGACGGUACCCAAAGAAUAAGCACCGGCUAACUUCGG
RNAcentral lists this ribosomal RNA (491 nucleotides) under uncultured bacterium. Its description in RNAcentral is "partial 16S ribosomal RNA". It matches the Rfam family "Bacterial small subunit ribosomal RNA", at positions 29 to 506 of the family's 1533-position model. The record is from RNAcentral.